This 813-nucleotide ribosomal RNA is filed under the name uncultured bacterium. RNAcentral describes it as "bacterial SSU rRNA". It matches the Rfam family "Bacterial small subunit ribosomal RNA", at positions 638 to 1450 of the family's 1533-position model. The record is from RNAcentral.
UGACUNGAGUGCAGAAGGGGAGAGUGGAAUNCCAUGUGUAGCGGUGAAAUGCGUAGAUAUAUGGAGGAACACCAGUGGCGAAAGCGGCUCUCUGGUCUGUCACUGACGCUGAGGCUCGAAAGCGUGGGUAGCGAACAGGAUUAGAUACCCUGGUAGUNCACGCCGUAAACGAUGAGUGCUAGGUGUUAGGCCCUUUCCGGGGCUUAGUGCCGGAGCUAACGCAAUAAGCACUCCGCCUGGGGAGUACGACCGCAAGGUUGAAACUCAAAGGAAUUGACGGGGGCCCGCACAAGCGGUGGAGCAUGUGGUUUAAUUCGAAGCAACGCGAAGAACCUUACCAGGUCUUGACAUCCCGAUGCUAUUCUUAGAGAUAGGAAGUUACUUCGGUACAUCGGAGACAGGUGGUGCAAGGUUGUCGUCAGCUCGUGUCGUGAGAUGUUGGGUUAAGUCCCGCAACGAGCGCAACCCUUAUUGUUAGUUGCCAUCAUUAAGUUGGGCACUCUAGCGAGACUGCCGGUAAUAAACCGGAGGAAGGUGGGGAUGACGUCAAAUCAUCAUGCCCCUUAUGACCUGGGCUACACACGUGCUACAAUGGUCGGUACAACGAGUUGCGAGCCGGUGACGGCAAGCUAAUCUCUGAAAGCCGAUCUCAGUUCGGAUUGGAGGCUGCAACUCGCCUCCAUGAAGUCGGAAUCGCUAGUAAUCGCGGAUCAGCACGCCGCGGUGAAUACGUUCCCGGGCCUUGUACACACCGCCCGUCACACCACGAGAGUUUGUAACACCCGAAGUCGGUGAGGUAACCUUUUAGGGGCC